GACGAACGCUGGCGGCGUGCUUAACACAUGCAAGUCGAACGGAAAGGCCCUGCUUUUGUGGGGUGCUCGAGUGGCGAACGGGUGAGUAACACGUGAGUAACCUGCCCUUGACUUUGGGAUAACUUCAGGAAACUGGGGCUAAUACCGGAUAGGAGCUCCUGCUGCAUGGUGGGGGUUGGAAAGUUUCGGCGGUUGGGGAUGGACUCGCGGCUUAUCAGCUUGUUGGUGGGGUAGUGGCUUACCAAGGCUUUGACGGGUAGCCGGCCUGAGAGGGUGACCGGCCACAUUGGGCCUGAGAUACGGCCCAGCCUCCUACGGGAGGCAGCAGUGGGGAAUAUUGCACAAUGGGCGGAAGCCUGAUGCAGCAACGCCGCGUGCGGGAUGACGGCCUUCGGGUUGUAAACCGCUUUCGCCUGUGACGAAGCGUGAGUGACGGUAAUGGGUAAAGAAGCACCGGCUAACUCCGUG
RNAcentral lists this ribosomal RNA (468 nucleotides) under uncultured bacterium. RNAcentral's name for it is "partial 16S ribosomal RNA". It matches the Rfam family "Bacterial small subunit ribosomal RNA", at positions 28 to 507 of the family's 1533-position model. The record is from RNAcentral.